RNAcentral lists this ribosomal RNA (460 nucleotides) under uncultured bacterium. RNAcentral's name for it is "partial 16S ribosomal RNA". It matches the Rfam family "Bacterial small subunit ribosomal RNA", at positions 338 to 795 of the family's 1533-position model. The record is from RNAcentral.
CCUACGGGAGGCUGCAGUGAGGAAUAUUGGUCAAUGGGCGCAAGCCUGAACCAGCCAAGUCGCGUGAGGGAUGACGGUCCUAUGGAUUGUAAACCUCUUUUGUCGGGGAGCAAGGUGCGCCACGUGUGGCGGGAAGGAGAGUACCCGAAGAAAAAGCAUCGGCUAACUCCGUGCCAGCAGCCGCGGUAAUACGGAGGAUGCGAGGGUUAUCCGGAUUUUUUGGGUUUAAGGGGGGCGUAAGCGGAAGGUAAAGUCGGGGGUCAAAUGUCGGUGCUCAACGCCGGACUGCCGUUGAUACUGGUCUUCUUGAGUGAGCGAGAAGUAUGCGGAAUGCGUGGUGUAGCGGUGAAAUGCAUAGAUAUCACGCAGAACUCCGAUUGCGAAGGCAGCAUACCGGCGCUCAACUGACGCUGAGGCACGAAAGCGUGGGGAUCGAACAGGAUUAGAUACCCUGGUAGUC